CCUGAUAUGAAAGCUGACAUUAGAACUGGUAACAAAGGAGCAGGAGCUGGUGUAAUACACAGGGGUAUCGCCCCUGGAACUCAAGAGUCCAACAGAUGCAAUUACAAAGCAGAAGGUGCAGGAGUCUGCCUACUCUGUGGAAAUGAGGUGACGCCUUCAUCACAGCCAGGAGCCAGGCUGAAAAUUAUUGUCUCUGAGACAGCACAAAACUCAGACUGCAGAAAGUUCUUUUUUUGGACAACUUCAAAGCUGAACUUUGUAUUUGAGAGAUGGAAGCAUGCAACUAAAUGCAUCUGCAUAUACGCUGCCUCACUUUAUCUGGGGAGUAACAAACCGGGUGACAGAAACAAUGCACUGGCUUAAAAAUGAUGAACUUCUUUUUUUCUUUUUCUUAUUAAAACAGGUGAAGAACAACUAGAGUCUGCUGGUAUGGAUUCUGUGUAUAAGUUGUUCCAACCAUGUUGAUAACUCUACGAAUUCAUAACAACGAUCUUUGCCCUGUCUCCAGUUACUAAACAUAAGAUUUCAACUGGAAGCCAGGGAAUGUUACUUCCUUUAAUUUCUGCAGCAUUAAAAAUCUGCCCUUAUGCACUGCAGCCAAGAAUAGGAAGGCAGAGUUUCAGCACAGAAUCAUAAACAAACACCCACGGAAGGUUUCGGCAUACCAAAUCAUCUAAUCACAAGCAGAAACCUGACUAAAUAACAUUUUGCAAUGAUUAUUGCGCUUCUGAUCCAUGAUCCUGAAAGUACUUACACAAGAAAUAAUUCACUCGAAGUGAGGCUUGGAGGCAGUGGUGAGGGCUGGCAUCAAAGGUGAAAAAGUAGCACUUAUAAGAUGAAAUAAAGC
Gallus gallus (chicken) is the source of this 847-nucleotide long non-coding RNA. NCBI's taxonomy places the organism in Eukaryota, Metazoa, Chordata, Aves, Galliformes, Phasianidae. The record is from Ensembl.